AUAUAUAUAUAUACGUAUAUAUACAUAUAUAUAUGUAUAUAUGUAUAUAUACAUCGCUAGCCACCGAACCUUUAUUAUUUUCUCACCCUGUCUAUUUCUGUGUUCCUUUAUGACGAAGAGCGUAGGCUCGAAACGUAAAAGACUUUCUCACUUCCCGAGUGUUAAACUAAUACAUCUCCUUGUUGUUUACA
This is a long non-coding RNA of Octopus sinensis (East Asian common octopus), 191 nucleotides long. RefSeq lists it as uncharacterized. The record is from RefSeq and is a predicted model, not a curated record. The transcript is spliced from 3 exons. NCBI's taxonomy places the organism in Eukaryota, Metazoa, Mollusca, Cephalopoda, Octopoda, Octopodidae.